GCCGGGCAUGGUGGUGCACGUCUGUAAUCCCAGCAACUCAGGAGGCUGAGGCAGGAAGAUUGUGAAUUCAAAGCCAGACUAAGCAAUUUAGCAAGGCCCUAAGCAACUUGGUGAGACCCUGUUUUUU
This 127-nucleotide small RNA is filed under the name Marmota monax (woodchuck). The record is from RNAcentral. Lineage: Eukaryota; Metazoa; Chordata; Mammalia; Rodentia; Sciuridae.